Panicum virgatum (switchgrass) is the source of this 1873-nucleotide long non-coding RNA. RefSeq lists it as uncharacterized. The transcript has 2 exons. NCBI's taxonomy places the organism in Eukaryota, Viridiplantae, Streptophyta, Magnoliopsida, Poales, Poaceae. The record is from RefSeq and is a predicted model, not a curated record.
UUACAAAUAUCAAAUGUCAUACUAUUAAAAAAAAUAAGGCAUAGUUGAUACUUCUCUAUAGCCUAAACGGUGUUUUAAAGGUCUACUCGUUGUGUAAAACUGUGUAGUUGCCGUUUUUACACCGUCGUGUAGCCCUAUUUUUUUAUCGUGUAAACUGUUGGACCGUGUAAUAACUAUUUAGACCCUAAACUGCACGGUAGCUUGUCGAGUAGCGUGUACACGGCGUGUACAUGGGCUACACGGUCGUUUACGGCAACAUUGGGCAAAAUAAAUUCUUUUUGACCCAUUAGUAAUAAACAUAUGGAUCAAACAUUAAAUUAGCAUUUCAUAUACUACGAUAACUAUUUUCAUAGGUGGAUGGUAACCCAUUUGUACAAGCAUACGACAUGUGACUCAAGGCCCGUACAAUUCAACAAUUUUUCAUAGUUGACCGCAUGUGAAAAAUGAUUUCCACAUGAUCCAUGCUUGUGGAAAUCCCAUUUUCAUGGGCUGUUUCUUAAGUGAAUUGUGUAAGGUAAAUUUUCCAGAAUCUAAAGAAGUGCAUUGGAAUCUAUGUCAUGAACAAUAGACGAUCUUGUCAUUACCGUAGCACUUACAUGGCUAUUAUGGAUACCUACAUGCAUGUGUGCGCUCCGUUGUUGCUUUACCACCAUGGCUCCCGUACUACUUAUGCCUGUAAUAGAGGAAGCCUGCCUACAUCUAUCCCCAUCGUCAUGUGCGAGCUUAUAGAUCUGACCAUAAUCAUAGAUGAUGUGGUGGAUGAGCCUAUUACCAUGGACGAGCUCAUUGAUCCACCUGCUGUGCCACUAUGGAUGAGCUUAUAGAUCUCUGUCUGUUGCCAUGGAUGAGGUCACAGAUCUGGCUACCGUCAUGGACGAGCUCAUGGAUCUGGCCUUGGCUGUGGUGGUCAUGGAUCUGCCCACCACCAUCAUUGAUGAGCUCACAGAUCUGGCCAUAUGGCUGUGGAAGAGGGAAAGACAAACUCGUAGAAGGAGUGAUUAAAUGUAUGGUUUCUAAAGGAUGUUGACGGCAUGAGUUUUUGAUGCAUAUUGAGGGUGGCCAUUCGAUCUCAUCCAAGGGCCACUAUAUUGUGCAGUUGGUAUAUGUGGGCUUAAGAUAGACAUAACUUUUGCAUACAAACUUGAAGUUGGUACGGUGCUCUUUUUUGUCACAAAAAAAAUUUUGAUGCUGUUUGAGAAAGGUUAAAUAGCCAAAGGUCAUAUUGGACCGUGUGUGAAACACACAUUGACCAUUCUAAAUAAGGUUUGGGCCCAUUCUGCAAUUUUCUUACAGUUUAAUAAUAACCAUGGUGUUUAAUGACUUUUUUGUUGCAUAUUUUUCCCAUAUUGUUAGGUAAAUUAGCCAAGGCCGAUGGUAAUAACAUGAUAGGGCAAUUAAAUUCUAAUGUUAAAAAAUAUCACAAAUACACCAUCCAAAUUGAACCUUUUUGCAGUAAUCAUUGUUGGUCAAAGAAUAACAAAAUAAUAUAUAUCUUAUUUGACAGGCUUAAGAAAGUUCUCACAUUUAAGUGUCGUUGUUUCCACCUUCUUGGAUUCAUAGACAUUGGGGGCUUCCAAAGGCUCGUGAUUGCACAUACGAAACACAUAGAAGUGGUGGACAUUCUAGAUUGGCCGACAUUUUAAUUAUAGCAUAUUUGUGUAAGCCUUGGUCAAAAUGCAAGCAUUAUUGCAAUAGUGCAUGGUGUUUAUACUAUGUGAGAUUUUGAAUUUCAUUAGCUCUCUUGGUCGCUCACCGUUCAAGAUGGUUCUGCACUGAUUUAACUCCAGCCUUGUUUUAUAAUAGGGUUAUUGGAAGGGUACAAUUGUAACUUUAAGAGUUGGAGAUAUACCACUACAACUUCUAAUAUUGGAGA